RNAcentral lists this unclassified non-coding RNA (536 nucleotides) under Rhynchospora pubera. Its description in RNAcentral is "partial external transcribed spacer 1F". Lineage: Eukaryota; Viridiplantae; Streptophyta; Magnoliopsida; Poales; Cyperaceae. The record is from RNAcentral.
UGGCKUGCUCUGCAUGGCAGAACUCCUGCGCAUCGGCGUGGCAGACUGUCAUGGGGCCGCCUCUUCAUUAUCCCUCUCGUCCGGUGUGAAAUUUCGCCUGGGAGGGAUUGUGGGUACCGUAUUUGUCUGUGUCGUUCUAUCCAAGCGGGAAACAUGAUCUGUCCGACGAUGUAUGCUUUUGCUUGCCUUGCUGAUAAUUUUAUUGUCUGCAGGGGCAGCCGAAUUUUGGGCGAAACCCUUGUGCGUCCCAUGGCAUCAAUGCCGUGGCACCGCACACGGGUGUUGUCGGCUCUUGCGGAUGUGGUGUCCAUGAUAAGUUAUGUCGGCCAUUAGCGGCCUGCAGGCUUCGGAAGGUCCCUUUUACGGAUCAUUGGUCCGUCGAUCGCCCUGUCAUGUCGCUUUUGGCGUCAUGAUGGAGCGGUGUGUUGGUUGCCUCCCUGACCGAAUGAGCAGCGAUUGCCGGGUACUGUUGUGAGAUGGUUCUCCCCUCCGGGGCGGCUCCGGAAACAAUGUGCCGGCUCUCGUUUAAGACGUGC